RNAcentral lists this ribosomal RNA (247 nucleotides) under uncultured bacterium. RNAcentral describes it as "partial 16S ribosomal RNA". It matches the Rfam family "Bacterial small subunit ribosomal RNA", at positions 530 to 776 of the family's 1533-position model. The record is from RNAcentral.
GGGAGCUAGCGUUGUUCGGAAUUACUGGGCGUAAAGCGCGCGUAGGCGGCUUUGUAAGUUAGAGGUGAAAGCCCGGGGCUCAACCCCGGAACUGCCUUUAAGACUGCAUCGCUUGAAUCCAGGAGAGGUGAGUGGAAUUCCGAGUGUAGAGGUGAAAUUCGUAGAUAUUCGGAAGAACACCAGUGGCGAAGGCGGCUCACUGGACUGGUAUUGACGCUGAUGUGCGAAAGCGUGGGGAGCAAACAGG